Molecule: ribosomal RNA, 352 nt
Filed under: uncultured Acidobacteriota bacterium
Lineage: Bacteria; Pseudomonadati; Acidobacteriota
Description: bacterial SSU rRNA
Rfam family: Bacterial small subunit ribosomal RNA
Source: RNAcentral
GGUGAGUAACGCGUAGGUAUCUAUCCUCGGGUGGGGGACAACCACGGGAAACUGUGGCUAAUACCGCAUGAUGACUGAGGUCCAAAGGCGCAAGUCGCCUGGGGAGGAGCCUGCGUCCGAUUAGCUUGUUGGUGGGGUAAAGGCCUACCAAGGCUCCGAUCGGUAGCUGGUCUGAGAGGAUGAUCAGCCACACUGGGACUGAGACACGGCCCAGACUCCUACGGGAGGCAGCAGUGGGGAAUAUUGGACAAUGGGCGAAAGCCUGAUCCAGCAAUGCCGCGUGGGUGAAGAAGGUCUUCGGAUUGUAAAGCCCUUUCGACGGGGACGAUGAUGACGGUACCCGUAGAAGAAG